Non-coding RNA from Myotis davidii, 74 nucleotides. The record is from Rfam. NCBI's taxonomy places the organism in Eukaryota, Metazoa, Chordata, Mammalia, Chiroptera, Vespertilionidae.
GCCUGUGUAGUUCAGUGGUUAGAGUGUCAGUCUGCACACAGAAGGGUCACAGGUUUGAUUCCCUGUCAAGGGCA